Molecule: long non-coding RNA, 1426 nt
Filed under: Marmota monax (woodchuck)
Lineage: Eukaryota; Metazoa; Chordata; Mammalia; Rodentia; Sciuridae
Source: RNAcentral
GCCGGUGCCUUCGCCGUUCCCGGGCAGUUCAGGGCGGGCUGAGGCCGCCCCCCGCACUGUCCCCGCGAGCGGGAGGAAGCCGAGGCCCCGCGGCCCCCGCCGUCGAGGCAGGGGCGUGCUCGGCGAAGACCGAUCCUCACCCGAGCGCCGGCGCCUCGGGCGCUGCCGUCCCAGCCGGGGAAUGCCCGGCGGCUCGCGGCUGAGGUCCCCGCGGCCGGGGAGGCCGAGGCGCGUCUGCCUGUAAACAGCGACCCGGGAGGCCGGGCGGCACGUUCGAGGCCAGCCUGGCGACUCAGUGAGACCUGCUCGGCGCGAGCGUGUGCCAGGCCCGAGCGGGACCUGCUGCAUCCCGGGGCCGCCCAGUAGGGCGCGGGCAGCCGCGGGUCUCGCACGACACGGAGCACACCUGUGUGCGGGACCCGGGCGCCGUGCUUGGGUAAAAGUUCUACCGCUGAGCUACCCCCGGCCCGCCGCUAGACCUUCCUACCAGCGCCAGCACCUUGGGUGUUGGAAAUCCUGUCCGCAGGACACCGCAGAGAUGUCCAGCAGCUUCACUCUUGAUUGUCAAUGGUCACAGCGCCAGGAUGUCCUCCAGUCGCCCAAUGGAUGAAUCCUGGGCCAUCCAGACCAUGGACCGUUAUCAGUGAAAAAGAAAUGCGCUGCUGAACAGGAAAGGAUGUGGGAAAACAUAGGUGCACAGUGUAAGGCAAAGACGUGGACUCCAACUCGGACAUAAUGGAGAGGACAUAACGGGGGCAUAACAGAGAGGGCAUAACAGAGGGCAUAACAGAGGGGGCAUAACAGAGAGGGCAUAACAGAGGGCAUAACAGAGAGGGUAGAAAGACCGGUGGUGGCCAGCGAGGGUCAGGGAGGGUGAGAGGCCGAGCCCUAACUGUUCCAUGUGACACUGUGCAGGUGGUGGCCCCCCUAGACCAUGACAUGGAGAGCAGCCUAGAACUUCAGUUGCAGUUGGUGAUGGGUCCUCGCUGCCCACUAGUGUAACAAGUGAACUGCCCCCAGGCAAGACGCCCCUAGUGCUGGGAACUGGGCUUCCUGAUCCGUUUCCCAGUAAACCUAGACUUCUGAAAACAUACAGUGUACUACAAGUAGUGAAGUAUUUAAGGUAAAAACAUUGAAUUAUUAAGAAACAAAUGCAAAUUCUCUAAUUUUGAGGAGGGGAAAGCAUGUUUUAGCAGAAAACCUAAAGGCAUAAGAGAUUGUUUAUUUAUUUACUUUUUUGGUGGUCCUGGGGAUUGAACCCAGGACGUUGUGCAUAUGAAGCAAACACUCUACCAACUGAGUUAUAUCCCCAGCCCAUAAGAGAUUUUUUUUCUGUGAAGACAGAAAAGUUAAUGUGAAAAUUUUUAUACUAUAAAUUAGAAAACAUGACCAAUCUUGGAGAAAAAAAAAAUAGGGCUGGGGAUGU